UAUAAAGACAACCAGUUCAAUUUCAUUUCAAUUGAUAAGAUGCUAUUUAUGUAUGAUGCUAAGAUAAACAUGCAUAUAAAAAUACACACAAUCAAAGUGCAGCAGUACCAUUAAUCAAUGCUCAUAAUCAUCAUAUAAAGCAACAGAGUCAUAAUAAAUCAGGUAUCAAAUGUUUUGCACUCGUCGGUUUCAGGGUUAUCCUUACAGUAAUCCUCCAAGGGGUCAGAAUCCUUCUUCCUAUCCCUUGCAUGACUCGCUGCAGCACUGAGUUCCUCCACUUCAUCCCAUGCUGCUACGCAUUCUCCACUAACUGGGUCAUCAGCACACGUCUCUUGUGCACUCUUUAUGCUCUCUUCAACCUUCUUUGAUAUCUGUUCUGGUGCAGCACGAACGGGUCGAACCACCGUCAUCCGACCCGAUCCGGCUACACCCCACCGUGUCUGCAGUGGUGUUGCUGGUGAGAUCUUGAUGGUUUGUGGGAAUCCUGAUGAGUUGAAG
Molecule: long non-coding RNA, 498 nt
Filed under: Medicago truncatula (barrel medic)
Lineage: Eukaryota; Viridiplantae; Streptophyta; Magnoliopsida; Fabales; Fabaceae
Description: long non-coding RNA (MTRU_LNC005672)
Source: RNAcentral